AACGCACAUUGCGCCCGCUGGUAUUCCGGCGGGCAUGCCUGUUCGAGCGUCAUUAUGACCAAUCAAGCUCUGCUUGGCCUUGGGGCCCGCUGUACCGGCGGCCCUUAAAAUCAGUGGCGGUGCCGUCUGGCUCUAAGCGUAGUAAUACUUCUCGCUACAGGGUCCAGCCGUCCACCCGCCAGAACCCCCAACUUUCUUAGGUUGACCUCGGAUCAGGUAGGGAUACCCGCUGAACUUAA
This 239-nucleotide unclassified non-coding RNA is filed under the name Pyrenochaeta sp. Its description in RNAcentral is "partial contains 5.8S ribosomal RNA, internal transcribed spacer 2, and large subunit ribosomal RNA". The stretch from base 1 to 52 matches the Rfam family "5.8S ribosomal RNA", at positions 103 to 154 of the family's 154-position model. Lineage: Eukaryota; Fungi; Ascomycota; Dothideomycetes; Pleosporales; Cucurbitariaceae. The record is from RNAcentral. RNAcentral also lists the same sequence under 5 other names.